CAGAAUAGCAGGGAUGUAACAGGUUAUCAUUUCUUCUUUUAAAGACCUCAAAAAUAAAACAAGAGACCCAAAUUCUCAAUUUGGAAAAUUCUCCUGUGACGUCAGCGCUCAGAGGCUUCGGAGGUGAUAAUUCCUGAGCCGAAGGUGAACCUGAAGAACCCCGACAAAACUUCUCACCCUCACUUGUUGGAAAUUCCAUCUAUUUAAUGCUGUGGUUUGGGAGUCUGUUUUAGGAAAACCUAAAAAUAAACUGGUCAAAACUUGCUUUAAUUAGUGAGCAUCAGUGAGGAUUUUGACAUAACUCCUAGCUGAUCAUGAACUUUUCCACUCUUUAGGUACUCUAAAGCUGUCUGGAGCCAGGAAAUAUCUGUCUACGGAAACUAAUCCUGGUUACAUGACAACACAAAUGUCCCGGCGACUUCACAUCAGCCGUUGCUAUGGCGUCUGUGUUUUAGGACGGUACUUCCUGAGGAUUAGAGCGCUGUUUCUGAUGAGUUCUGCCUGUCUCUUCAGACUUCCAGGGAGCCAUAGGAACCAUGAGUGAUGAAAUCAGAGGGCCAUGCUGAGCCCACUCCACUCUUCGAUGGCCCUGGGGAAGCUGGCCCUGUCCCUCACUGGACAUUGCAGCAAGAGAGCUGGCCCCAACCCUCACUGGAGAGCUGGGCCCCCCACACUCAAGAGGAAUGGCCCUGCCCCUCACCAUGGGCAAGGGAGAACUGACCCUGAAGACAUGGGCUUAUGGGAGCUGGCUCUGCCCUGUGCCUGAGGGAGAUGGCCCCAGUGGCCCAGAUUGGCCAGCUCAGCUAUUACUCAGUCCCACAGCUGGGUCUUGGGUUGGUCCACCCUAACAUCUACCCCAACUAGGACCUGCUGUGGAACCAUACCCACAGGAUCUCCAUGAAUUGGGGCGGCCAAGAUAUCCGAGAGGAGUUUCAGUGAGGAUCCAGGAAUGAUGAUGUAUCAGAAACCAGAGGCCUUGAGCCAAACCAAUGCCAGGAUACCUUUCCACUGAAGCUGUAAUGCUUACAAAAGAUAGUGAUGAAGAAAAUGAGUUUAAGGAGCAGAGUCUGGACACCCAGCCAGUCAGUGAUGGGACUGGCAUUUAAUUGAACCCUGACAGUCUGGCUCCAAAGCCCACAUCCCUCAUUUUGCACACAGACAUACUUUCUCCUUUACAAGGGGAACCUGGAAAGCACAUCGACUUCAUGAAUUUAAUUAAACCACGUUUCAUGGGCAAAAAAAAGGAGAUGUUGGUGUUGAUAAAUGAAAGAAUAUGGAAUUUUCUAUGAGUUACCUUGAAUUUCCGCUCUCAAGGCUCCUUGAAAGACAUCAAUCUCUGCCUGAGUCCGUUAAGUGAGCAAGAGACUCGGGGUUCAAGCUGAAGAGCCUGCCCCAGAGUUUUCAUGCCUUUGACAGUCCCUGCAGGCCUGAGUCCAAGUCUUUGUGAGGGAAGAGGAGAUGUGUGACUCAGCCUGGCCCUCUGGCAUCUCCAUUAUCCAAUUGGUAACCACCUUCCUUUCCCAGCCUUGUAGCUCUCCUGAAACUCACAUGUACCUUGCUGUAUUCCCCAGUGUUCAAAUGCAUCCUACUCCUCCAACUCUGGGCUCUAAUUUUCCU
Molecule: long non-coding RNA, 1617 nt
Organism: Peromyscus eremicus (cactus mouse)
Lineage: Eukaryota; Metazoa; Chordata; Mammalia; Rodentia; Cricetidae
Exons: 3
Source: RefSeq, a predicted model, not a curated record